UCCGAGUUGACCCCGGCAGUCUCCCAUGAGUCCCCGCCAUUACGCGCUGGCAACAUGGAACGAGGGUUGCGCUCGUUGCGGGACUUAACCCAACAUCUCACGACACGAGCUGACGACAGCCAUGCAGCACCUCUAUGGCGGCCCCCGAAGGGGAAGCCCUGUUUCCAGAGCGGUCCACCACAGUUCAAGCCCAGGUAAGGUUUUUCGCGUUGCAUCGAAUUAAUCCACAUAAUCCACCGCUUGUGCGGGUCCCCGUCAAUUCCUUUGAGUUUUAACCUUGCGGCCGUACUCCCCAGGCGGUGUGCUUACCGCGUUAGCUGCGACACCGAAGAGCUAGGCUCCCCAACGUCUAGCACACAUCGUUUACAGCGUGGACUAC
This 379-nucleotide unclassified non-coding RNA is filed under the name uncultured bacterium. RNAcentral's name for it is "contains 16S-23S intergenic spacer region". The record is from RNAcentral.